This 63-nucleotide transfer RNA is filed under the name Sargus mactans. Its description in RNAcentral is "tRNA-Cys". Lineage: Eukaryota; Metazoa; Arthropoda; Insecta; Diptera; Stratiomyidae. The record is from RNAcentral.
GGCUUUAUAGUCAAUAAUGACAUUAGACUGCAAUUCUAAAGGAGUAUACUUGUACUAAGGCUU